This 87-nucleotide non-coding RNA is filed under the name uncultured Dialister sp. Its description in RNAcentral is "Glycine riboswitch". It matches the Rfam family "Glycine riboswitch aptamer", at positions 9 to 86 of the family's 94-position model. Rfam says of the family: This family represents the bacterial glycine riboswitch. Glycine riboswitches usually consist of two metabolite-binding aptamers domains with similar structures in tandem. The record is from RNAcentral. Lineage: Bacteria; Bacillati; Bacillota; Negativicutes; Veillonellales; Veillonellaceae.
ACACUCUGGAGAGUCUCUAGGAUAUUUCUAAGGGCGCCGAAGGUGUAAGGACAUGAGUCCCAAUCUCUCAGGCAAAAGGACAGAGCA